This is a long non-coding RNA of Acanthopagrus latus (yellowfin seabream), 454 nucleotides long. RefSeq lists it as uncharacterized. NCBI's taxonomy places the organism in Eukaryota, Metazoa, Chordata, Actinopteri, Spariformes, Sparidae. The record is from RefSeq and is a predicted model, not a curated record. The transcript is spliced from 3 exons.
GGUGUUUUCCGGACGGGGAUGCUCAAAGUGUCAAGCAGCGUGAAGCAUCAGCCUGCCAUCACAGCCCGACGAUAAGACCCGCAGCUGACAGUCGAUAUCUGUCGCCUGUUUGUUCUGAAGCGGAGCAGCUGAAAUCCAAGAGUGUAAACUCAACAGUUGCCGCCCAAACACACACACACAGAAAGAGAGAGCAGACGAUUGUGUCCCAGCAGCACGCAGUCGCUGAGGAGGCACCGCGGCAGCAGGGUAAGGAAUUGGAUUAUCGUCCUUGGAUCUGUCUUGGGAGGAAAAUCUGAGUAUGUGACGACAUCGUACGAGGGCUGAUGAGGUCUGAUAUAAAAUGUCUAAGAUGAAAAUCACUGAGGGCGGAACUGACCUGGCCAGUCGGGCUAGAGUGCUGACAGCCAGGACCCCAUCGAGGCCAUAGACGACGAGCAAGACACCGCUGAUGAUU